CUGCCCACUGCUGCCCCAUCCACCCCACUCCGGAGGAUACCUGACCACAUGCAGCCAUUUCACUCUGCUUGAACACCACAGGACCAACCCAGUCCUGAGGUUGCUUCUCUUCCUAAUCCCAGACCAAUGCCAGCAAGAAACCUGGGUGCCUUCACCUGCUGCUGCCAGGAGCAUUGGAGAGCACCUACUUGAAGCACCCCACGUGUCCAUGGCAAACUGAAGACCAGCCAAAAAUGACCAACAGCUGAGUAGUUAUAGCAGGCAGAAUGGAGAUCACCCUGAGAGUGCCUGUAGCAGUAGGAAAUUUGUUGGAAAAAAUACCCUGUGCUAAGGCAGAGGAGAAGCUCCACAUUGGUCCCUGCCAAUCUGAUUAUCUGGAUUGUUUCUUCUUCUUCCAGUCUCUGGAUCUGGCUUGUUUAACCCCAAACCUAUGACUGACAGAUAAUGAGGCACCUGGGCAGAGAAAGGCACCAGCAACAUCUGCUGAGCUGAUCCAAAUGCAGACCUGGCCUGCACAGUUUGGGGAAAACACCUUCUUUCUGCUGGCCACAGCACCUUCAAGGCAGCAGCUUUUUCCUGCAACCCCCCAAAAUGCCCAGGUCUCCCACGCCUUUUCACAUUUUGCGAAGCCUGUCAAGAAGCAGCACAGGGAGGAAAACUGAACCAGAAAAUAUGGGAGGCACAUGUGCACAUCUGAUUAACCCGACUUUUUAUGAUAAACAAAGCAGCUCAAGGGCCCUGUUCCCUCUGUCCCCACAAUAAAUCUCCUGGUUUUACUGUUUUAUGAUGUCAAACAACUAGGAGUUUUCCUCUGCUUGCAAAUAGAACAUAAAUUACCUUGGGUAAACUCCAUGGAGGCUAAUGUUAUCUAUAAAAUCCUGGCACUAAUAACUUCAUGGAAAGUCUAAGGGCUUCCCAUUUUAUAUGAGUAAUGCUAAUUAGCACUGUAACCAGGAGGCAUCUAGAUUGGGAAGAUAAAGUACCGCACUGUGAGCACCGUAACUGUAGCUACUUUGGAUGCCAAAAUCGACAGUGACUCUGACCUGAGGUUUUGGGUACAGGCUUGCAGCAUCUCAAUAGAACAUGAAAGGCAUCCAUCCUCCUUUUAUCCCAUCAAAGUCAAAGACAUCUCACCUGGGUGUAAAGUAAAUGUACUAAG
Molecule: long non-coding RNA, 1159 nt
Organism: Anas platyrhynchos (mallard)
Lineage: Eukaryota; Metazoa; Chordata; Aves; Anseriformes; Anatidae
Source: RefSeq, a predicted model, not a curated record